Long non-coding RNA from Drosophila arizonae, 187 nucleotides. The record is from RefSeq and is a predicted model, not a curated record. Lineage: Eukaryota; Metazoa; Arthropoda; Insecta; Diptera; Drosophilidae.
GCAUAUUAACAAAAUUAUGUGGAAUAAAGCUAUCAACUUUUCAUAAUUAUAAAUAUAUAUUUUAACAUUUUUAAACAAUCAUAAAUUGUAACGUUACAUUUGAUAGCAUAUGUUUCAUCUCUUGAUGUGUGUUUGUAUGUGUAUGUGGUGUGUGUGUGUGUGUAUGCGUGUGUGUGUGUGUGUGUGU